UAGCAGUCACACUUCCAGAUAUAUAUACAAAAGAACUGUAAGUAGGAGCUGGGUACAGUGACUCACACCGUAAUUCUAGCUACUCUGGAGGUUGAGACAGGAGGAUUGCAAGUUCAAGCCCAGCCAGGGCAACUUAGUGAGAUCAUGUCACUAAAAGAAAAGGACCAAGAAUGUAGCUCAGAAAUAGAGCACUCCUGGGUUCAAUCUCCAGUUUCCCCCCUCCACGAAAAAGAAAAAGAAAAAAAGAUAGGGUCUUGAAAAGAUAUUUGCAGUUCAACAUUCCUAGCAACAUUAUUCCCAAAGGCCGAAAGGUGGAAAUAACCAUUCAUAGACGAAUUGACAGACAAAAUAUGAAAUAUGCAUACAACGGAAUAGAAUUCAGCCCUAACAUAUAAGGAAAUUCUGACAUAGGCUACAAAAUAGAUGGACCCUGAGGAUAUUAUCUAAGUGAAAUAAGCUAGCCACAAACCAAAUACUGCAUAAUUCCUCUUGUAUGAGGUACUUGGAGUAGUCUAAUUCAAAGAGAGAGUACAAUAGUGGUUGCCAGGGGCUGGAGGAAGAAGGACCAGGGGAGCUGUUUAAUAGGUAUGGAGUUUUAGAUUUGCAAGAUGAAAAGAGUUCUGGAGAUUGGUUGUACAACAAUGUGACUAUAAAUACUACUGAAC
RNAcentral lists this long non-coding RNA (665 nucleotides) under Marmota monax (woodchuck). The record is from RNAcentral. Lineage: Eukaryota; Metazoa; Chordata; Mammalia; Rodentia; Sciuridae.